This 76-nucleotide transfer RNA is filed under the name Prevotellaceae bacterium. RNAcentral's name for it is "tRNA-Met". It matches the Rfam family "tRNA". Rfam says of the family: Transfer RNA (tRNA) molecules are approximately 80 nucleotides in length. Their secondary structure includes four short double-helical elements and three loops (D, anti-codon, and T loops). The record is from RNAcentral. Lineage: Bacteria; Pseudomonadati; Bacteroidota; Bacteroidia; Bacteroidales; Prevotellaceae.
CGCGGAGUGGAGCAGUUGGUAGCUCGCCAGGCUCAUAACCUGGAGGUCGCUCGUUCGAGUCGGGUCUCCGCCACUA